RNAcentral lists this ribosomal RNA (484 nucleotides) under uncultured bacterium. RNAcentral's name for it is "partial 16S ribosomal RNA". It matches the Rfam family "Bacterial small subunit ribosomal RNA", at positions 30 to 507 of the family's 1533-position model. The record is from RNAcentral.
AUUGAACGCUGGCGGCAGGCCUAACACAUGCCAGUCGAGCGGAUAAAGGAAGCUUGCUCCUGGCUUCAGCGGCGGACGGGUGAGUAAUGCCUAGGAAUCUGCCUGGCAGUGGGGGAUAACGUCCGGUAACGGGCGCUAAUACCGCAUACGUUCUGAGGGUGAAAGUGGGGGUUCUUCGGACCUCACGCUAUCAGAUGAGCCUAGUUCGGAUUAGCUAGUUGGUGGGGUAAAGGCCUACCAAGGCGACGAUCCGUAACUGGUCUGAGAGGAUGAUCAGUCACACUGGAACUGAGACACGGUCCAGACUCCUACGGGAGGCAGCAGUGGGGAAUAUUCGGCAAUGGGCGAAAGCCUGACGCAGCAACGCUGCGUGUGUGAAGAAGGUCUUCGGAUCGUAAAACACUGUAAGUAGGGAGGAAGAAAAGUAAGUGAAAAUCUGCAUGUCUUGACGUUACCAACAGAAUAAGCAACGGCUAACUACGUG